Molecule: ribosomal RNA, 555 nt
Filed under: uncultured bacterium
Lineage: Bacteria
Description: partial 16S ribosomal RNA
Rfam family: Bacterial small subunit ribosomal RNA
Source: RNAcentral
UAGGGAAUCUUCCACAAUGGACGCAAGUCUGAUGGAGCAACGCCGCGUGAGUGAAGAAGGUUUUCGGACCGUAAAGCUCUGUUGUUGGUGAAGAAGGAUAGAGGUAGUAACUGGCCUUUAUUUGACGGUAAUCAACCAGAAAGUCACGGCUAACUGCGUGCCAGCAGCCGCGGUAAUACGUAGGUGGCAAGCGUUGUCCGGAUUUAUUGGGCGUAAAGCGAGCGCAGGCGGAAGAAUAAGUCUGAUGUGAAAGCCCUCGGCUUAACCGAGGAAUUGCAUCGGAAACUGUUUUCUUGAGUGCAGAAGAGGAGAGUGGAACUCCAUGUGUAGCGGUGGAAUGCGUAGAUAUAUGGAAGAACACCAGUGGCGAAGGCGGCUCUCUGGUCUGCAACUGACGCUGAGGCUCGAAAGCAUGGGUAGCGAACAGGAUUAGAUACCCUGGUAGUCCAUGCCGUAAACGAUGAGUGCUAAGUGUUGGGAGGUUUUCCGCCUCUCAGUGCUGCAGCUAACGCAUUAAGCACUCCGCCUGGGGGAGUACGACCGCAAGGUUGAAAC